UAAAAACUAAACAACAUAAAGCCAAAGUGGAAAUAAAUACUGCAUUCAACCAAACGAGUGCAGAUUAUGAAGUCUGUUUGUGCCCUUCAGUAAUCUCUAGAUUUAAAUAGAGAAGAAAU
This is a long non-coding RNA of Poecilia latipinna (sailfin molly), 119 nucleotides long. RefSeq lists it as uncharacterized. The transcript has 3 exons. Lineage: Eukaryota; Metazoa; Chordata; Actinopteri; Cyprinodontiformes; Poeciliidae. The record is from RefSeq and is a predicted model, not a curated record.